GUCAUGGUGGCCGAGCGGUCUAAGGCGCCAAACUCAAGAGGGAUCUUCUGGGUGUUCCGGUCCACGAAUGUGGGCGUGGGUUCGAAUCCCACCUCUGACA
This 100-nucleotide transfer RNA is filed under the name Fasciola hepatica (liver fluke). It matches the Rfam family "tRNA". From Rfam's summary of the family: Transfer RNA (tRNA) molecules are approximately 80 nucleotides in length. Their secondary structure includes four short double-helical elements and three loops (D, anti-codon, and T loops). Further hydrogen bonds mediate the characteristic L-shaped molecular structure. tRNAs have two regions of fundamental functional importance: the anti-codon, which is responsible for specific mRNA codon recognition, and the 3' end, to which the tRNAs corresponding amino acid is attached (by aminoacyl-tRNA synthetases). tRNAs cope with the degeneracy of the genetic code in two manners: having more than one tRNA (with a specific anti-codon) for a particular amino acid; and 'wobble' base-pairing, i.e. permitting non-standard base-pairing at the 3rd anti-codon position. The record is from Rfam by way of RNAcentral. Lineage: Eukaryota; Metazoa; Platyhelminthes; Trematoda; Plagiorchiida; Fasciolidae.